Paramuricea clavata is the source of this 88-nucleotide non-coding RNA. Lineage: Eukaryota; Metazoa; Cnidaria; Anthozoa; Malacalcyonacea; Plexauridae. The record is from the annotation of a GenBank genome assembly.
UUGUCAGUUGUUGCAUGUUCAUUGAGUCUUGUGUGAAGACCGACAGAUGCCUUCACAUAAGACUCAAUGAACAUGCAACAACUGACAA